GGAAAAGUUUAUUUAUGUUAGGGAAGAUAAGACCUUGUGGGUCAGGCUGCAUUUGAACAAAGCCCUAAAGCACUUGCAAGAUUUGGAAAAGCAGAAGAGGGAAUAGCAUCCUAUGGAUAUGAAACAAGACAAAGAUAGGAAGCAAAAUAACUUGGAUUAUUUACAAAUGGUAAAAUAGAGUUCAACUUGACUGUUGCAUGGAGUAUACACAGAGGAAAGAAAACUUGAGUCAGAAGCAGAAACUUUUACUCAAGGAAUGGAACCCUCUUGCUCAUCUUAGAUCGGGCGUGGAAGCACAGCUCUCGCACUGUCAAAAACACUGCACCAAAUUGUCAAAUGUCAUCAGUCAAUGGUGUCUAUCAAAGGAAGUUCAAGCUAUGGAAAAGCAUAAAAUAAGGGAAAACUCCUCUUUCAUUCAGCAAUUAUUUGUUGAGCUCUCUAAGGGCCAGGCACUGCAGAGCAUGCUGAAGAAACACAGUCAAAUGAGACAUAACACCCUGUUCUGAGACCAAUCACCAUCACAGCUUUUUCUCAGGAUAGAAAAGACAGAUAUGGGUCCUAGAUCCUGCUUUGUCAGAAUGCUGACAAAAAUGUUCCAGGAUAUAGUCGUGGCGUUGGGGAGAGAGUUGAUGGGCUGUCAAUUGCUGAAAGAGCAAUUUUAGCAGAGAGGAAAACCAAGCUGCAAAGGCUACAGAUCCAGUGCGGGGAGAAAGGAAAGCGGCCGCAGUGGACAAGAUUGUUCCCAAAGGACCUUGUGUGUUGUAAAGGACACCAGACUCUGAAUCAAUCAUUCUAUUUCAACCUUGAGUGUGACCUUUCAGAUGCAUCCUUAUGCAAAAAUAAUUUUUGAGAAGCAAUAUGUCAGAAACAUCAUUGGAAUUGAUCUAGAAGACCUGGAUAUAGCCCCAAAUACACUCCUUAGCCAGUCA
Molecule: non-coding RNA, 929 nt
Organism: Microcebus murinus (gray mouse lemur)
Lineage: Eukaryota; Metazoa; Chordata; Mammalia; Primates; Cheirogaleidae
Source: RefSeq, a predicted model, not a curated record